AGCAUUGGCCAACAGCUGCUGCAAAGUAGAGGAAAGUCCACGCUAACACUUUCUGCGAUGAAAGUAGUGUUCAUGCUAAGCCCAAUAAGCUUAGGCCUAGACGACUAGUGCCACAGAGACGAGAAAUGUGAAACGCGGUAAACUCCAUGAGUUAGAAACCCAAAUUUUGGUAGGGGAACAUCUUAAAGAGAAUUGAAUCCGAAAGAUGAGUCAUUGACUAGAUAAAUUGUUGGCACCCGCAAGGGUACAGAACGUGGCUUAUAGAU
RNAcentral lists this RNase P RNA (266 nucleotides) under Mycoplasmopsis bovigenitalium 51080. RNAcentral's name for it is "Mycoplasma bovigenitalium 51080 Bacterial RNase P class B". It matches the Rfam family "Bacterial RNase P class B". From Rfam's summary of the family: Ribonuclease P (RNase P) is a ubiquitous endoribonuclease, found in archaea, bacteria and eukarya as well as chloroplasts and mitochondria. Lineage: Bacteria; Bacillati; Mycoplasmatota; Mycoplasmoidales; Metamycoplasmataceae. The record is from Rfam by way of RNAcentral.